RNAcentral lists this small RNA (116 nucleotides) under Lachnoanaerobaculum saburreum. RNAcentral describes it as "Ribosomal protein L10 leader". It matches the Rfam family "Ribosomal protein L10 leader", at positions 11 to 131 of the family's 138-position model. From Rfam's summary of the family: This family is a putative r-protein leader autoregulatory structure found in B. subtilis and other low-GC Gram-positive bacteria. The record is from RNAcentral. Lineage: Bacteria; Bacillati; Bacillota; Clostridia; Lachnospirales; Lachnospiraceae.
UAAAACGACCGUAGACAGUAGGUGCCUUAGGCGUAAGUAUUAUUCGCCUACCGAGGAAGUGACUAAGUACUUGAUGUAUUAUCACUCUCUGUCUUUUAGUCAGAGAGUUUUUUGUU